UGCAAGUCGAGCGGAACGAGUUAUCUGAACCUUCGGGGAACGAUAACGGCGUCGAGCGGCGGACGGGUGAGUAAUGCCUAGGAAAUUGCCUUGAUGUGGGGGAUAACCAUUGGAAACGAUGGCUAAUACCGCAUAACGCCUACGGGCCAAAGAGGGGGACCUUCGGGCCUCUCGCGUCAAGAUAUGCCUAGGUGGGAUUAGCUAGUUGGUGAGGUAAUGGCUCACCAAGGCGACGAUCCCUAGCUGGUCUGAGAGGAUGAUCAGCCACACUGGAACUGAGACACGGUCCAGACUCCUACGGGAGGCAGCAGUGGGGAAUAUUGCACAAUGGGCGCAAGCCUGAUGCAGCCAUGCCGCGUGUAUGAAGAAGGCCUUCGGGUUGUAAAGUACUUUCAGCAGUGAGGAAGGGGGUGUCGUUAAUAGCGGCAUCUCUUGACGUUAGCUGCAGAAGAAGCACCGGCUAACUCCGUGCCAGCAGCCGCGGUAAUACGGAGGGUGCGAGCGUUAAUCGGAAUUACUGGGCGUAAAGCGCAUGCAGGUGGUUUGUUAAGUCAGAUGUGAAAGCCCGGGGCUCAACCUCGGAACUGCAUUUGAAACUGGCAAACUAGAGUACUGUAGAGGGGGGUAGAAUUUCAGGUGUAGCGGUGAAAUGCGUAGAGAUCUGAAGGAAUACCAGUGGCGAAGGCGGCCCCCUGGACAGAUACUGACACUCAGAUGCGAAAGCGUGGGGAG
RNAcentral lists this ribosomal RNA (732 nucleotides) under Vibrio sp. Its description in RNAcentral is "bacterial SSU rRNA". It matches the Rfam family "Bacterial small subunit ribosomal RNA", at positions 56 to 768 of the family's 1533-position model. Lineage: Bacteria; Pseudomonadati; Pseudomonadota; Gammaproteobacteria; Vibrionales; Vibrionaceae. The record is from RNAcentral.